RNAcentral lists this ribosomal RNA (335 nucleotides) under uncultured eukaryote. RNAcentral's name for it is "partial 18S ribosomal RNA". It matches the Rfam family "Eukaryotic small subunit ribosomal RNA", at positions 1470 to 1796 of the family's 1831-position model. The record is from RNAcentral.
CCCUUAGAUGUCCGGGGCCGCACGCGCGCUACAAUGGAUGAAUCAACGCGUCAUCCUGGCCCGAAAGGGUUGGGGAACCGCUGAACCUCAUCCGUGGUUGGGAUUGGGGUUUGUAAUUAUUCCCCAUGAACUAGGAAUUCCCAGUAAGCGCGAGUCAUAAGCUCGCGUUGAUUACGUCCCUGCCCUUUGUACACACCGCCCGUCGCUACUACCGAUUGGAUGGUUUAGUGAGAUCCUCGGAUCGGUCCCGACUCGGGGUGGGCUUCUGCCCCGGUCGUGGUUUCGCCGAGAAGACGGUCAAACUUGACUAUCUAGAGGAAGUAAAAGUCGUAACA